UACGGGGGGGGCAAGCGUUGUUCGGAAUUACUGGGCGUAAAGGGCUCGUAGGUGGCCAACUAAGUCAGACGUGAAAUCCCUCAGCUUAACUGGGGAACUGCGUCUGAUACUGGAUGGCUUGAGUUUGGGAGAGGGAUGCGGAAUUCCAGGUGUAGCGGUGAAAUGCAUAGAUAUGACCCGGAACACCUAUUGCGAAGGCAGCAGGCUAAACAAAUAUUGACGCUGAGGCUCGAAAGCGUGGGGAUCAAACAGG
This 253-nucleotide ribosomal RNA is filed under the name uncultured bacterium. RNAcentral's name for it is "partial 16S ribosomal RNA". It matches the Rfam family "Bacterial small subunit ribosomal RNA", at positions 524 to 776 of the family's 1533-position model. The record is from RNAcentral.